UACGGAGGGUGCAAGCGUUACCCGGAAUCACUGGGCGUAAAGGGCGUGUAGGCGGGAUGCUAAGUCUGGCUUUGAAGACCGGAGCUCAACUCCGGGAGUGGGCUGGGGACUGGCAUUCUGGAGCUCUGGAGAGAGAACUGGAAUUCCUGGUGUAGCGGUGGAAUGCGUAGAUACCAGGAGUAACACCAACGGCGAAGGCAGGUUCUUGGACAGAAGGUGACGCUGAGGCGCGAAAGUGUGGGGAGCGAACCGG
This 253-nucleotide ribosomal RNA is filed under the name uncultured bacterium. RNAcentral's name for it is "partial 16S ribosomal RNA". It matches the Rfam family "Bacterial small subunit ribosomal RNA", at positions 524 to 776 of the family's 1533-position model. The record is from RNAcentral.